UCCCUGGUGGCUCAGCUGGUAAAGAACCUGCCUGCAAUGCAGGAGACCUGGGUUCGAUCCCUGGGUUGGGAA
This 72-nucleotide transfer RNA is filed under the name Ovis aries (sheep). It matches the Rfam family "tRNA". Rfam says of the family: Transfer RNA (tRNA) molecules are approximately 80 nucleotides in length. Their secondary structure includes four short double-helical elements and three loops (D, anti-codon, and T loops). Further hydrogen bonds mediate the characteristic L-shaped molecular structure. tRNAs have two regions of fundamental functional importance: the anti-codon, which is responsible for specific mRNA codon recognition, and the 3' end, to which the tRNAs corresponding amino acid is attached (by aminoacyl-tRNA synthetases). tRNAs cope with the degeneracy of the genetic code in two manners: having more than one tRNA (with a specific anti-codon) for a particular amino acid; and 'wobble' base-pairing, i.e. permitting non-standard base-pairing at the 3rd anti-codon position. Lineage: Eukaryota; Metazoa; Chordata; Mammalia; Artiodactyla; Bovidae. The record is from Rfam by way of RNAcentral.